Molecule: long non-coding RNA, 754 nt
Filed under: Lactuca sativa (garden lettuce)
Lineage: Eukaryota; Viridiplantae; Streptophyta; Magnoliopsida; Asterales; Asteraceae
Description: long non-coding RNA (LSAT_LNC005709)
Source: RNAcentral
UUUUUUUUUUGUUCCUGCUGUUCCUCUUAUUCCCGUUUUUCAAUCUCAUGAUCUCUUCCCCUUCUUUCCAAUCCAGAUUAACAAUGCUCCCAAAUUCAGAUCGAUGAUGCCUCCUUCUUUUAUAUCGAGAUAGAAGAUGCCAGAAACCGAACGCGAGGUCUACCCCUUUGCUGAUUUAUUUCUGUCAUAGGGAGCAUUACCAAAAACCAACCCUAGCCUAUCGUUUCUCUCUUCUCCCACCGGAACCCUAUUUGACAAUUUGCCUACCAUUCCGAAGAACAAAAAACCCGACACUGUUCUUAACCUUGUGUUCUUGAACCCCGGACCAAAUUUUGAUUUUUUUCCCGACGAAUAUAAACCCAACACGAUUCUGUAGUCAAUCGGUUUGUCUCCUCUUUAAAUUCUUUGAUUACAAUCAACAUUCAAGCUUAAUUUUAAUUGUUUGAUUUGUGGUUUGUUAAUUGUUCCAUUUUUUUUCUUUUAUGUACAUAAGCUACAUAAUCAUGUUUGAUUGUGGGAUUUUUCUUGAUAACCGGCAAGGGAUAGUAAGGAUGUAUAAGGUUUCAUUUUAAGAUUUUUCUGAUGGGAAAUCAUGAAGUUCUUAUGGGAUUAUUCUGGUAAUUUUCCAUCUAGUUGAUUUCAGAAAUUUUAGCAAUUUCAAGAAUUUUUUGGUUGCAAUUUUGAUUUUUCUAGAUUUCAAUUCAUCAUGUCUUCUUGUCGUCCGAGGUGUGUUUGUUGUCGGAGGGGGUGGUAG